Long non-coding RNA from Passer domesticus (house sparrow), 3501 nucleotides. RefSeq lists it as uncharacterized. The transcript is spliced from 2 exons. The record is from RefSeq and is a predicted model, not a curated record. Lineage: Eukaryota; Metazoa; Chordata; Aves; Passeriformes; Passeridae.
CCUUCCCCGCCGCCCGCCCCGGCGGCGGCACCGCCGGCGUGGGGCGGCCCCUCCGCCCGGCCCGGCCCGGCCCGAGAGCCGCGGGUGGGGCGGGGGCGGCGGGGAUCGCUGCUGCGGGCGCUGCUUUGUGCGCCGAGCGCACGGGGGAUCGGCCGCGGCUCGCCCAGGCCGCUGGAAGGCGCCUCAGCGCGGCCGAGCCCCGGGCUGAGCCCCGCGGGGCUGGGCUGAGGCCAGGCGGAGCACCGGCCCCGCGGGGCUCGUGUGUGCACCUGCACGGACGGCGGGCAGGGGCUCGAGAGAGCCUGCACCAGAUACAGGAUCAGCAAAAGUGUCCAGCUGGCUCAAGGCAAGUCUGCCUAGUGCAGUACCCCGUUCCUGGCAGGAGUCAGCACCAUGCCACAAGGCUUGAAAAAGACAGAAAGAAUCCUGCAGCAUUCAGAAGAAACAUCUCCUAUGCUGGCUUCUUGAUCUUUGGAAGCCCGAUAUUGAUUGAAGUCUGGGAGCAUGAAAUUGAACAUCUCUUUCACGGGUGCUGCAGGAGCAGUUCGGGACUGGCUGGGGCAGCAGGGGAGUGUCCAGCUGUGGUUGUCAGAUAGUCUGGAAGCUUCCUUCAGACUGAAACUCAGUAUAGCCUGUAUUCAGGCCCUUUAUACCUCUUGAAUAGCAGAAAAGCAUGAAUGUCCAUGAUGAAAAGAGGUUUCAUUAUGUUGUACUCAUGAGCAUUGUUAAUAUCCCUUCUAGCUGCUUGGAAGCAUACAUCAUCAUUUUCAUGGAAAUCAUCAGUUUCAAGGAAAUAUGUCAUAAAUCAUUGCUAUAUAUUGGAUUGUGACUGGAGAGAUAGACAGCAUAAUAAAUUACCAGAAACUCCAAAAUUAAAACUGCUGAAUUUGUAAUGAAUUAAGCUCAGGUACUAACUAUGGAGCAUAAGAAAUACCACUUUUCCUUUUAAAUUUCUGUGCUCUUAAAUGUGAAGCCAGUGGGCAUUGAGCAAAUUAGAUAUGUAAAUUGAAACUGGACAAAAGGAACUUUCUGUGCUCAUGUGUAAUAGUAAUGAUAAUUGAAAAUAAUGAUAAAUAUAGAAGUAUACAUAUGUUUGAAUGUAUCACCAAUGUACAGAGAUGUUUCCUUUCAAUUUUUAGCAAUUCUGUGUAAAUCAUGUAGUGUUUCAUUGUUUCUGAGAUAAACAUUUGGUAAGAAUUUCAAUUCUUUGAGUUUAUAGACACCACUAGGGAAUUCUUCAUUUCUGACAGUAUUAUUUUACAUAACUGCUUUUCCUUAUUCACAAAAAGGAAUUAUCCUCCCAUUGAAACCAACAGACUUUUGCUAGCCAGCUUCAAAGGAAAGAGGACGAGGCUCUAAUUGGCAAAACAAUAUUGGAGGAUAUGUUGUACCAGAUCUAAACUAUAUAGAUUAUCACAAUAACAACAAAAAGCCAUUUAUUUCAGGCAGUGAGUCCUGAAGUCAGUGUGCAUUGGAAAAAUGAUCUUAAAAGAUUGCAACAUGUGAGCAGCAAAAAAUUAUUAUAACAUUUAGUGCAAUUUUAGGAUUAAUUUUACCAUGAACUUUCAAAACAGCACAACUUAUUUUCUGUCUGGCAUAGAGACACUCAGGAUAAAAAAGCCCACUGGCUUAAUAGAACUCAGUCAAAUAUUUAGGACUCCUCAAAAAACUGACAGCUUCUAUAAUGAGACAUGAAUUUCAUAAAGCUGAUGUUAAUUUAUUCCAUGUAUUGGGCUAAAUAAAAACAAAACACGACAAGAUUUCAAAGAUACUUGCUAAAAUACUUAAUUUACCAACUGAGGCCAGGUACUCUCUGUGCAAGUAUCAUGCAUAUGGCAGCUUGGUGAGAUGGUAUCACCUGUACUCAGACCUUUUGCUCUUGAGCAUUCUCCAGUGUUUGUGAAUUGUUUAACAGUGUUGUUAUCACCCUUACACAGAUUGGCUUCCAGGGGCUGUCAAAGAGCUGGCAUAUGUUCCUUGGCUGUUCCCUACACUGUAAGAUAGAGGAAAGAGGAGAAAUGAGUACUAAAGGGAUUCCUGGAUGCAGUGGACAUGUGUUCUUGGAUACUAAUAUGCUGCUCCCUUAGGUUUCAGUCCUCUCUGCUGAGCUCUAUACAAUUGAGUUGCUUUGACAGCUCAUGUUUGAUGAUCAAGCUCAGUGUGGGUGUAUGCAUUUGCUGGACCAAGCUUUAGUGUUCAGCAAUGUCCAGACUGCAAAUCUAGAGAUUAUAUGACUUUCAAAUCAUUGGAAGACACUGGUAGGUGAAACUGGAGGACGUUCUCUCAAUGGAACUAUCUCUUCUGCCUUAAGUACCUGCGUUUUGAUCUGAUGAAGUGAAAGCAAGUUAAUGUGUUUCACUCAAGGACAGGGAUUAUCCUUUAGAAAGCAGUGCUGGCAGAGACAGCUGGCAUCCAUCUGGUUGCUGUGGCAGGUAUCUGUAUAUUAUCUACCCUGGCAGAUCACAUCCAAUCCUUGUAAUUGCAUGCUUUAUGAAAAUUGCAGGAGUCAAAAAGUUCAGGAUUAAGACAGUAAUGCUGAUUUUCUCUGUAGUGAGCCAUAUAAAAAAAUUGCCUUGACAAGUAGUGGUCUUUUGAGGUGUGUUUUGUUUGCAUCCAGAGAUGUCAGUUCACUGUUAAAACAAUACUUCAGUCAAGUAAUGAUCACUGACAGGGCCCACAUUCAGAGGUUAUAACAUUAAUCUAAAUUCAUGUGUCUCCUCUUGUUCUUUGAUUGGUGCAAGAACUCUUGAGAUGUCCAUGCAGUAAGAAGAAUAAAAACUGAGGUGAAAUUAAGCCCUCUGAAUCUGGAUCCCGGACCCAUUAUAGAGCUUUAUGAGCAGUGAAGAAACUGAGGAAUACUUGUAAUGUCUUUUUGGAGAGGACUCUGGAAUUGAGACUGGAGUUCUUCAUAAGACUAUAAGACUUUGAAUAGGAGAGGAGCUAUAUGUCCAUAAAAUACCUUUUAAAAUUCCAUUUCCAAGACUCAAGCUUUUGCUUCUGUGGCUUUUCCUGAGAAUUUAGACCAUUAAUGUGUUAUAAAUUUUACCUGUAAUACUGUUCCAUUUCUUCUGCUGCUUGAUAUGUUUUAUUGGGAUAUCCAUAGCACAGAAGAUAGCAGUCACCUGCUCAAUUUACAUCUCCAGAUCUGAAAAUUUGUUUAUAUCUGCACGUGUGCCUGUAUGCUUAUGUCACAUGAUUUUAUCCAUAAAAAAUAUGCUUUUCUACAGUCAACAUUUCCUCAAAACUCCCCACUGUUAUUGAUAAACUGGGACCCUCAAAACCAGAGAAGUGAGAAGAAACUACCCGAACUGCACAGAAGACAAAACUGAAAUGUAGUGGUUGAAGCACAACGUCUUUCUGUUGCACAGCUUUGCGAAGAACUGAGCACACACAAUUCCUUCUCCUGUUGCUUUCCUAUUUCUUAUUCAGUUUAGUUGUUCUUUCAGUAAAACUCUGGGGUGUUACUUUAUAUUCAUUUUAUUAAAUAUAUUAACAAUACAA